RNAcentral lists this unclassified non-coding RNA (246 nucleotides) under uncultured SAR86 cluster bacterium. Its description in RNAcentral is "partial 16S-23S ribosomal RNA intergenic spacer". Lineage: Bacteria; Pseudomonadati; Pseudomonadota; Gammaproteobacteria. The record is from RNAcentral.
AACGAUACUUUCGUACUAGAGUGCCCACACGAGUAAUCAAAUAUUCAAAAGAAGUUUUUUAUAAGAUUUGGUAUGUAAUUUUCUAGUGUUUAUAUCAGUUUGAUAUAUACACCAGUGGCAUAUCUGUUAGAUAUGUACACGUAGAUCACUGCAUUUAAUAGAAGAAAAUUUUAUUAAGUUAUUCUCGAAGCAAAUAACAAAAAAACUUAGUUCGCUUAGAAAAGGAGAACUAAGUAUAUAACCCUU